GUGAACGCUGGCGGUAGGCCUAACCCCUUCAAGUCGCACGGCAGCACAGUAAGAGCUUGCUCUUACGGGUGGCGAGUGGCGGACGGGCGAGGAAUACAUCGGAAUCUACUUUUUCGUGGGGGAUCACGUAGGGAAACUUACGCUAAUACCGCAUACGACCUACGGGUGAAAGCAGGGGAUCUUCGGACCUUGCGCGAUUGAAUGAGCCGAUGUCGGAUUAGCUAGUUGGCGGGGUAAAGGCCCACCAAGGCGACGAUCCGUAGCUGGUCUGAGAGGAUGAUCAGCCACACUGGAACUGAGACACGGUCCAGACUCCUACGGGAGGCAGCAGUGGGGAAUAUUGGACAAUGGGCGCAAGCCUGAUCCAGCCAUACCGCGUGGGUGAAGAAGGCCUUCGGGUUGUAAAGCCCUUUUGUUGGGAAAGAAAAGCAGCAGGUUAAUACCCCGCUGUUCUGACGGUACCCAAAGAAUAAGCACCGGCUAACUUCGUG
This 491-nucleotide ribosomal RNA is filed under the name uncultured bacterium. RNAcentral describes it as "partial 16S ribosomal RNA". It matches the Rfam family "Bacterial small subunit ribosomal RNA", at positions 29 to 507 of the family's 1533-position model. The record is from RNAcentral.